Molecule: long non-coding RNA, 152 nt
Organism: Lynx canadensis (Canada lynx)
Lineage: Eukaryota; Metazoa; Chordata; Mammalia; Carnivora; Felidae
Exons: 3
Source: RefSeq, a predicted model, not a curated record
UGAAUAAAUGAGCCUGCUAACAGAUUGAACAGUGGAACCGCUUUUCCCUGUGUGUCCCAAGAACCACCCGGACCCUACUCUAUUCCUGGGGAUUCAUCUUUCCCACCAGAGCACCGCCAGAUAGAUAGAUAGAUAAAGAGAGAAAGAGAGAG